GACGAACGCUGGCGGCGUGCCUAAUACAUGCAAGUUGAGCGAUGAAGAUUGGUGCUUGCACCAAUUUGAAGAGCAGCGCACGGGUGAGUAACGCGUGUGGAAUCUGCCUUUGAGCGGGGGACAACAUUUGGAAACGAAUUCUAAUACCGCAUAACAACUUUAAACAUAAGUUUUAAGUUUGAAAGAUGCAAUUGCAUCACUCAAAGAUGAUCCCGCGUUGUAUUAGCUAGUUGGUGAGGUAAAGGCUCACCAAGGCGAUGAUACAUAGCCGAACUGAGAGGGUGAGCGGCCACAUUGGGACUGAGACACGGCCCAAACGCAUACGGGAGGCAGCAGGAGGGAAUCUUCGGCAAGAGACGAAAGUCUGAGCGAGAAACGCCGCGGGAGUGAAGAAGGUUGUCGGAUCGUAAAAAUCGGUUGGUAGAGAAGAACGUUGGUGAGAGUGGAACGAUCAUAAAGUGACGGUAACUACUCAGAAAGGGACGGCUAACUACGUG
This 497-nucleotide ribosomal RNA is filed under the name uncultured bacterium. Its description in RNAcentral is "partial 16S ribosomal RNA". It matches the Rfam family "Bacterial small subunit ribosomal RNA", at positions 28 to 507 of the family's 1533-position model. The record is from RNAcentral.